This 458-nucleotide ribosomal RNA is filed under the name uncultured microorganism. RNAcentral's name for it is "bacterial SSU rRNA". It matches the Rfam family "Bacterial small subunit ribosomal RNA", at positions 9 to 514 of the family's 1533-position model. The record is from RNAcentral.
GAGUUUGAUCUUGGCUCAGAACGAACGCUGGCGGCAUGCCUAACACAUGCAAGUCGAACGAACUCUUCGGAGUUAGUGGCGCACGGGUGCGUAACGCGUGGGAAUCUGCCCUUGGGUACGGAAUAACUCAGAGAAAUUUGUGCUAAUACCGUAUAAUGACUUCGGUCCAAAGAUUUAUCGCCCAAGGAUGAGCCCGCGUAAGACUAGCUAGUUGGUGGGUAAAGGCCUACCAAGGCUACGAUCUUUAGCUGGUCUGAGAGGAUGAUCAGCCACACUGGGACUGAGACACGGCCCAGACUCCUACGGGAGGCAGCAGUGGGGAAUAUUGGACAAUGGGCGAAAGCCUGAUCCAGCAAUGCCGCGUGAGUGAUGAAGGCCUUAGGGUUGUAAAGCUCUUUUACCCGGGAUGAUAAUGACAGUACCGGGAGAAUAAGCUCCGGCUAACUCCGUGCCAGCCG